ACAUCUUCUUCUUCUUCAUUCUACUUUAAUUCUGCAGACAGCUUUUCCUGUGCUGUUAAAGGACAUGAGGAUUUCCCCUCUCUUCCAGUUUGUCUCGAUGGUCAAUCCUGCAACAGAGUGACUUACACUGACAGAAGCAUCUGUGCCUUCAGAGGCUCAUCAGUGGACAUUUCCUGCUCAUACAACAGUUUAGGAUCUAUCACAUCAACAUUCUGGUUCAGUCCUGAACGUAGUCAUCAGUGGCAGAAUCCCUCACAGCCUGAGGACCUUAGGAAAGACUCCCAGUAUGCAGGUCGUGUUCAGUUCCUUAAUCCAGAGAGAGGACGCUCCACUCUGAGAAUCUCUGACCUGAGAGAGAGCGAUUCAGCCCAGUAUCACUUCACAUUCAAAACACAAUGGAUUGAAUGGGGGAGUAGUUUACCUGGAACAACUCUGACUGUCACAGCUCUCCAGGUGCAGGUGAUCACAAUAACAGUCCAUCAGUCUUAUACCGAGGCAGAGCUGAAAUGUCUCAGCAGCUGCAGUCCAGCAGGUCGUAUUUCUUACGUCUGGUUCAAGAACGGACAGAAAGUUAUGAAGGAGGAAACUUCUCUUUAUUCAGGGC
Thunnus maccoyii (southern bluefin tuna) is the source of this 604-nucleotide long non-coding RNA. RefSeq lists it as uncharacterized. The record is from RefSeq and is a predicted model, not a curated record. Lineage: Eukaryota; Metazoa; Chordata; Actinopteri; Scombriformes; Scombridae. The transcript is spliced from 3 exons.